UUUUAGAAAUUAAUUUAAAGUCUAACCUGCCCACUGAAUAAUUUUAAAUGGCCGCAGUAUCCUAACUGUGCAAAGGUAGCAUAAUCAUUAGUCUUUUAAUUGAAGGCUUGUAUGAAUGGUUGGAUGAAAUAUUAACUGUUUCAUAUAAAUUUAUAAUAAAAUUUUAUUUUUUAGUCAAAAAGCUAAAAUAAAAUUAAAAGACGAGAAGACCCUAUAAAUCUUUAUAUUUAAAUGAUUAUAAUUAUUUAGAUAAAUUAAAUUAUAAUUUUUAUAAAUAUUUUAUUGGGGUGAUAUUAAAAUUUAACAAACUUUUAAUUUAUAAUUAACAUAAAUUAAUGAAUUAUUGAUCCAUUUAUAAUGAUUAAAAAAUUAAGUUACUUUAGGGAUAACAGCGUAAUUUUUUUAGAGAGUUCAUAUUGAUAAAAA
RNAcentral lists this ribosomal RNA (426 nucleotides) under Megaselia albicaudata. Its description in RNAcentral is "partial 16S ribosomal RNA". Lineage: Eukaryota; Metazoa; Arthropoda; Insecta; Diptera; Phoridae. The record is from RNAcentral.